UGCUUGCACUGGGUGGAUGAGUGGCGAACGGGUGAGUAAUACGUGAGUAACCUGCCCUUGACUCUGGGAUAAGCCUGGGAAACUGGGUCUAAUACUGGAUACGACGGCGCAUCGCAUGGUGUGUCGUGGAAAGGGUUUUACUGGUUUUGGAUGGGCUCACGGCCUAUCAGCUUGUUGGUGGGGUAAUGGCUCACCAAGGCGACGACGGGUAGCCGGCCUGAGAGGGUGACCGGCCACACUGGGACUGAGACACGGCCCAGACUCCUACGGGAGGCAGCAGUGGGGAAUAUUGCACAAUGGGCGGAAGCCUGAUGCAGCGACGCCGCGUGAGGGAUGACGGCCUUCGGGUUGUAAACCUCUUUCAGCACGGAAGAAGCGAGAGUGACGGUACGUGCAGAAGAAGCGCCGGCUAACUACGUGCCAGCAGCCGCGGUAAUACGUAGGGCGCAAGCGUUGUCCGGAAUUAUUGGGCGUAAAGAGCUCGUAGGCGGUUUGUCGCGUCUGCUGUG
This 509-nucleotide ribosomal RNA is filed under the name Kocuria sp. RNAcentral describes it as "bacterial SSU rRNA". It matches the Rfam family "Bacterial small subunit ribosomal RNA", at positions 77 to 596 of the family's 1533-position model. Lineage: Bacteria; Bacillati; Actinomycetota; Actinomycetes; Micrococcales; Micrococcaceae. The record is from RNAcentral.